Molecule: long non-coding RNA, 3148 nt
Organism: Lycium barbarum (goji berry)
Lineage: Eukaryota; Viridiplantae; Streptophyta; Magnoliopsida; Solanales; Solanaceae
Exons: 3
Source: RefSeq, a predicted model, not a curated record
CCUAACUGCAUGUAUCCACCACACAAACGUACGUUUUUAUUCUUUAGGGUAUGAUAAUAGUAGUUCUUUACAUGCAAAAUACUAGUAACAACAGAGUAGUUCUCUGUCAGAACUUGCAAGUUGAACUACUAAAACGGUGAUCAGCAUCACUUUGUAAUCUACUGGCACCACAAUAACUUGCUAUAUUUUAGAAUUCAGAUUGAAAUUUCCAUUUUCUUGAGAAGAAUCUUGCAUGUUGUCUAUGUUGGAAUUAUUUAGAAGUGAUUCAAUUUUUUUUUUAAAAAACGCAAUAUAUUGUGAAAAGAUGUUACCCAUUCUUUAAAGGGAAAAGGGUCAAAAAUGCCCCUCUACUUUGGGAAAAGGUCUAAAAAUAUCCUCCGUUACAAAUUUGGGUCACAAAUACCCCUCCCGUAAUUGAAGUUUUUAAAUAUACCUCUAUCUUAAUAGAAAUUUCCAAAUCCCCCAAAAUGACCCGAUUUUAUUUUUAAACCCGCUUCAUUUAAACCCUCAAAAUAGGUUUUUUAUUUAGUUGAGUUGGGUUUAAAUGGUGCGGGUUUAAAAAUGAAUUCGGGUUAUGUUGGGGAUUUCCGUUAAGAUAGGGUAUAUUUGAAAACAUUAAUGAUGAGAGAGAUAUUUUUGAUCCAAAUUUGUAAUGGAUGAUAUUUUUAGUCCUUUUCCUAAAGUAGAGGGGUAUUUUUGACCCUUUUCCCUUCUUUAAAUGAUACACUUAUUCAUUGUGAAAAUGUGUCAUACAAUCUUAAAGGGUAUAUCCAUUCCUGAAAAGGUGUGAUCACUUUCUAUAAAUACCUAUUCACUGCAGAAAAUCAAAAAUAUCAUAUCUAGAUCUUUAGGCUCUUUAUAAUUUCAUUCUCUUCAAGAGUCCGCUUUAUUUCUUAUUCUGAGUUUCUACAAAAGCAUUCGAGAGAUAAAAGGAUUCUCCGGGACUUCUAUUUGAGUGCACAUUAGAAGAUUUCUAAGUGGUUCAUUAUAUCUUGGGAGGAGACCGUCACUUUGUUAUUAGAUUCGGGGUAGCGACAAAAAUCUACUUUGAAUACAGAGUCAUGCAUAGCGUGCCUUGAUCCGGGUUUUUCAAUUUCAACUCUGUCUUAUCUUUAUUGUUAUAGUUGUUAUUUGUUCUUCUUAAUGUGAUCAUCUCUAAUAUUUUCCAAACACACUAUAUAAAAAGAAAAGAAAAGGAAAAGAAUGGACAAGUGAAAACAAUGUUUUAGAAAAAUGUGUUGUAAAUAAAAUUCUAAGUUAUGACUUCGCCGGAGAAUUAAAGUAAAUGGUAUGUAUUGAACGAAAAUAAUAACGAGACAAGAAUGUUUUGGUCACAAUAUGACCUCCUUAUCAUAUUGUGAAUACGAAGGCCGAGAAAAUCCUCCUAAAACAUUCUUGUCACUUUACUAUUUUCGUUCAAUAGUAUGUGUCAAUUGUCCUUCAUUGAUUAAAAGGAGAAAAAUUAAUGAGUUUAUAAGCUAAUUGGGUUCUCCUAUGUCCUAUAUAAUAGAUUACACUUUUGGGUCCGAAGAAUUAAAGUAAAUGGCAUGUAUUGAACGAAAAUAAUGAGACAAGAAUGUUUUGGUCACAAUAUGACCUCCUUAUCAUAUUGUGAAUACGAAGGCCGAGAAAAUCCUCCUAAAACAUUCUUGUCACUUUACUAUUUUCGUUCAAUAGUAUGUGUCAAUUGUCCUUCAUUGAUUAAAAGGAGAAAAAUUAAUGAGUUUAUAAGCUAAUCGGGUUCUCCUAUGUCCUAUCUAAUAGAUUACACUUUUGGGUUAGGUUUUCCUGUUUGAUCCGUAACAAUGGUAUCAAAGUAGGUUGAUCAAUGCUUGGGACCACGACACCCGGACCCAAGAGGGGUGCCAGCCGUGACCAACUACCUCGUUGAUCCUCAAGCGGGGCGAUUAUUGUGCGCCUCACUGAUUGAAAAGACAAAAAUCUCAAUGAAUCACGAGAUAAAUGGGCCCAAACAUUCAUGUUUGUAAUGGUUUAAGUACCCAUAUGAUGUACCUAAACACCCAAUUUGUUUGACGUGUAAAACUUGAUUAUUAGGAUAGGUACUCUAAUUGGACCAAAAAACAAUUCAAUGAGAAUCUAAAAGGAUAGGCAAAUAAUCUAUAUACAUAAUUGCAGGACAUAGGCCCGGUGACGUGGCACUCUCUAAAGCCAGCAAUCCUAUUUAUCUUUUAGUACAAUUUUUUGCCUUUUUCUCCCUCUUUUUAUAAAUUUUAUUUAUUAUUAUUAUUAUUAUCCUAAAGCCGAAAAGCCACUCUAUUAGUAACCUACUUAAUUGCACCUGUUCAGAUUCCCUUACGACUACGAGGAUAACUUCUGCUUUGUUUGUUUUUGUAGGCAGUGAAAGAUGAAAAAUCAAACCAGAACGAAAAACCCUUAUCAAUCUUUCCGCCAUUUUUGGUCUCAACUUCUUCAAAAGUCUGCCCAAAAAAGUGCAGACAUUGUUCAGCAGUAAAAAGACAAAUCCUGUAACGCUACGUACCAUCCAGUCCGUCCAGGAGAAAGAAUGGAUUUUGAAUGAUCAGAAACAGAAUCAACAGUAGCCACUUCUUGAGAGCGUGGCAGGUGUUUCCGUCAACAAAAGAAUUUAGGCUUCGUAGAGAACGCCCUUCUAUGUUCACCCUAAGUAGAACUGCAUUGAUGAGUUUAGAGACAAUUCUAAUUCAUAUUAAAUUAAAUAAGGAGAACUCCAAAUGUGUAAUCGAUAUCCACCGGUACUGCACAACAUGAACAUCGACGAGGAGGAGGAGCUUUUGGUGGUCGUAAAAGAGAUAAAGAUGCAUGUCACUCAAAAUUGAAUGCACCAUUCUCAACCAGCUUAGUUUGCAUUGGUAUGCUUCCUAUAUUUGGAAUACCCACAUUAUGUUUCAAUUAGAAAGAUUAGAAAAAUUACUUCUUUGAAUUUUUCAUGGAUGCAAACAAGAAAUUAAUGUCCCUUAAUUCGAUAGCCACGCAACACCAUAAACUGCAUUGUAAGGCUUGACCAAAAUUUCAAGAAAUAAAGAAAAAAAUGUACUCCUAAAUAGAGAGAAAAGGUAGAAAAACUAAAAUUAAUUUGAUUUAGUUGAUUAGGUAGAUGGAUCCGGUUAUGUAUAUAUAAAUUAUAUACACUACAUCAAUUCUUCUUAAG